RNAcentral lists this ribosomal RNA (470 nucleotides) under uncultured bacterium. RNAcentral describes it as "bacterial SSU rRNA". It matches the Rfam family "Bacterial small subunit ribosomal RNA", at positions 28 to 507 of the family's 1533-position model. The record is from RNAcentral.
AAUGAACGCUGGCGGCGUGGAUUAGGCAUGCAAGUCGAGCGAUGAAGCGGUGCUUGCACCGUGGAUUAGCGGCGAAAGGGAGAGUAACGCGUAGGUAUGUACCCCCUGGUCUGGGAUAGCGGCGGGAAACUGCCGGUAAUACCGGAUAAUGUCCCCGGACCAAAGGUGUGAUUCCGCCAGGGGAGCGGCCUGCGUCCUAUUAGGUUGUUGGUGGGGUAACGGCCUACCAAGCCAAAGAUGGGUACCGGGUGUGAGAGCAUGGCCCGGCUCACUGGGACUGAGACACUGCCCAGACACCUACGGGUGGCUGCAGUCGAGAAUCUUCCGCAAUGGGCGCAAGCCUGACGGAGCGACGCCGCGUGCGGGAUUAAGGCCUUCGGGUUGUAAACCGCUGUCAGAGAGGCGGAAAUGCGUAGGGGCUAUCCCCUAUGUUUGACCUAAUCUCAGAGGAAGUGCAGGCUAAGUUCGUG